ACCAAUUCCGUUGGACGAUUUAUUCUAUCGCUUUCCUUCGGUAUAAUGGCUUGGGUGCAAGAUCAAACCUAUUUUUGUGGUCAUCCCGAUCGGUGGAUUUUUUUCUUCCAUUUCACUAGGUCUUGGAAACGCCAUAUACAUUC
RNAcentral lists this small nucleolar RNA (143 nucleotides) under Zostera marina. The record is from RNAcentral. Lineage: Eukaryota; Viridiplantae; Streptophyta; Magnoliopsida; Alismatales; Zosteraceae.